UACGGAGGGAGCUAGCGUUGUUCGGAAUUACUGGGCGUAAAGCGCACGUAGGCGGCUUUGUAAGUUAGAGGUGAAAGCCCGGGGCUCAACUCCGGAACUGCCUUUAAGACUGCAUCGCUUGAAUCCAGGAGAGGUGAGUGGAAUUCCGAGUGUAGAGGUGAAACUCGUAGAUAUUCGGAAGAACACCAGUGGCGAAGGCGGCUCACUGGACUGGUAUUGACGCUGAGGUGCGAAAGCGUGGGGAGCAAACAGG
Molecule: ribosomal RNA, 253 nt
Filed under: uncultured bacterium
Lineage: Bacteria
Description: partial 16S ribosomal RNA
Rfam family: Bacterial small subunit ribosomal RNA
Source: RNAcentral